Molecule: long non-coding RNA, 1118 nt
Organism: Ictalurus punctatus (channel catfish)
Lineage: Eukaryota; Metazoa; Chordata; Actinopteri; Siluriformes; Ictaluridae
Source: Ensembl
CGGGAGCAUAAGAAACUCCACCGGAGAGCUCGUGCAGAGACCCAGCCCGGGAUCAACAGGGUGACCUCGGAGCGCCCGUCGGAGGUCAUAGCACCAGAGCUCAACCCUGAAGCCCAAGUCCAAGUCUCAUCUCAAGUCCCUGAAGCCCAAGUCCAAGUCAAGUCUCAAGUCCCUGAAGCCCAAGUCCCAGUCAAGUCUCAAGUCCCUCAAGCCCAAGGCCAAUUCAACCCUCCAGUCCCUGAGGUCCAAGUCAAGCCUCCAGUCCCUGAGGUCCAAGUCAAGCCUCCAGUCCCUGAGAUCCAAGUCAAGCCUCCAGUCCCUGAGAUCCAAGUCAAGACUCCAGUCCCUGAAGUCCGAGCCAAGUCUCCAGUCCCUGACGUCCGAGCCAGGUCUCCAGUCUCUGAGGUCCGAGCCAGGUCUCCAGUCUCUGAGGUCCGAGCCAGGUCUCCAGUCUCUGAGGUCCGAGCCAGGUCUCCAGUCUCUGAGGUCCGAGCCAGGUCUCAAGUCCCUGAGGACCGAGCCAAGCCUCCCGUCCCUGAGGACCGAGCCAAGCCUCCCGUCCCUGAGGUCACGUCCAAGCCUGCUGAUCCAGUUGACCAAGCUCUGCUAAUAUCUCAGCCUAAUGACAAAAUGCUGCUCACGCCCAAGUCUACCGACCCGGUCGCCCAAGUUCAGCUCACGUCCCAGUCUGCUGACACGCACAGCCAAGUUCCGCCCGCGCCCCAGUCUGCUGACACGCACAGCCAAGUUCCGCCCGCGCCCCAGUCUGCUGACACGCACAGCCAAGCUCCGCCCACGCCCCAGUCUGCUGACACGCACAGCCAAGCUCCGCCCACGCCCCAGUCUGCUGACACGCACAGCCAAGCUCCGCCCGCGCCCCAGUCUGCUGACACGGCCAGCCAAGCUCCGCCCGCGCCCGAGCCUCAGCCCGCCUGUUCAGCUGAGGUCGUCGCUCAGCCCGCCUGUUCAGCUGAGGUCGUCGCUCAGCCCGCCUGUUCAGCUGAGGUCGUCGCUCAGCCCGCCUGUUCAGCUGAGGUCGUCGCUCAGCCCCCCUGUUCAGCUGUGGUCGCCGCUCAGCCUUCCGGCUCCAUGGCAAACGUCGUUCCCCCCUACUGCUU